Molecule: ribosomal RNA, 258 nt
Filed under: uncultured bacterium
Lineage: Bacteria
Description: partial 16S ribosomal RNA
Rfam family: Bacterial small subunit ribosomal RNA
Source: RNAcentral
GAUCCUGGCUCAGGAUGAACGCUAGCUACAGGCUUAACACAUGCAAGUCGAGGGGCAUCGGGAAGAAAGCUUGCUUUCUUUGCUGGCGACCGGCGCACGGGUGAGUAACACGUAUCCAACCUGCCCUUUACUCGGGGAUAGCCUUUCGAAAGAAAGAUUAAUACCCGAUAGCAUAAUGAUUCCGCAUGGUUUCAUUAUUAAAGGAUUCCGGUAAAGGAUGGGGAUGCGUUCCAUUAGGUUGUUGGUGAGGUAACGGCU